GAUGAAGAACGUAGCGAAAUGCGAUACGUAAUGUGAAUUGCAGAAUUCAGUGAAUCAUCGAAUCUUUGAACGCAUAUUGCGCUCUUUGGUAUUCCGAAGAGCAUGCUUGUUUGAGUAUCAGUAAACACCUCAAAGACUUCAAUUUGUUUUGAAUGGCUUUGGACUUGAGCAAUCCCAACACCAGUCUUUACGAUCGGUGGAGGGUUGCUUGAAAUGCAGGUGGAGCUGGACAUUCUCCUGAGCUAAAAGCAUAUUUAUUUAGUCCCGUCAAACGGAUUAUUACUUUUGCUGCAGCUAACAUAAAGGGAGUUUGACCGUAUUGGCUGACUGAUGCAGGAUUUCACAAGGGUCGGCAACGAUUCUUGUAAAACUCGAUCUCAAAUCAAGUAAGACUACCCGCUGAACUUAAGCAUAUCAAUAAGCGGAGGA
Molecule: unclassified non-coding RNA, 429 nt
Filed under: soil metagenome
Description: partial contains 5.8S ribosomal RNA, internal transcribed spacer 2, and large subunit ribosomal RNA
Rfam family: 5.8S ribosomal RNA (bases 1-120)
Source: RNAcentral